AUGCGCUGCGUGGAUGUUUCCGGGGGAGUUCUCUGCCGAGUGCUGUGUGAGCCUGCAGUGGACGGAGGCAAUGAGGGGGUUACCAGAGUCAGCUGGGGAUUCAUGAUCAUCAUCAGUGAUGUUUCUCCACAGCGGGCUCAUCAGUACCUGGUGACAAAAGGUCAAUCCAGCUCUGACUUGAGGCUGUUCAAGAAUCCGCGCCACUUGAUCUGGUUCCCCCUCUACCACAGGCAGAGAAACACAGGCCUGGACUCUUUGUUGGCCAGACAAAAUCAGGAACGAAAUCAUUGGUUUUCACAACUGGGUCCAUUUCCACCUGCAAAGGAUAUAAGACCAGGGAGCAUGAUUUGUCGGCGAAUGGAGAAUCACACACAGUGGUCUGCAAAGAGAGCUUCAGGAUGCUUCCUCCCACUGUCCACUGCAUCGUCCAUCCACAGGGUUUGCAGGGCUGGCUCAAUCCAUGGCUGCCACACCACUAAGAUGUUUUCAGAAAUAUGCAAGCAGGAGAUGGUGGAUGCUAUAUUACUACUAGUACAAUACUUUUAA
This 546-nucleotide long non-coding RNA is filed under the name Oreochromis niloticus (Nile tilapia). Its description in RNAcentral is "lncRNA (ENSONIG00000038928.1)". Lineage: Eukaryota; Metazoa; Chordata; Actinopteri; Cichliformes; Cichlidae. The record is from RNAcentral.